Molecule: long non-coding RNA, 380 nt
Filed under: Elaeis guineensis (African oil palm)
Lineage: Eukaryota; Viridiplantae; Streptophyta; Magnoliopsida; Arecales; Arecaceae
Description: long non-coding RNA (EGUI_LNC070684)
Source: RNAcentral
UUGAUAACUUGUAUUCGAGCCUAGCCUACGUAGGUUCUCUUAUCAAGCUUAGCUUCUAAAGAUGCACCGUCUAUUAAUCAAAUAAGCUAUGGGAGAGGAAUAGUGGAGUAUUGUACAUAGAUAUUUGUGGCAUUUUUGCAAAAGGAAAAGGCAAAGGCAAAGGCAACUAUAUCUCUGCUCAAAAUGAGAAAAAACAGAGACUACUGUUAAGACAAAGUGCAAAAGCAAGUACAGGAAGGAAAGUCUUACCUCUGGAUAAGUUUCAGGAUGAUAGUGAAGUUGAAGGUCUGCAGGUCAUUGAUGUGAACUAAGCUACUCCAUUUCGGCUAGAAUCAGCACUGUAGAAUUUACUGUGGAUGAGUUUGUCAUUGUUUGAGGCU